CUACAUUUUAAGAUUAGAUCUCAAAUCAGGUAGGACUACCCGCUGAACUUAA
Molecule: ribosomal RNA, 52 nt
Filed under: Rhodotorula mucilaginosa
Lineage: Eukaryota; Fungi; Basidiomycota; Microbotryomycetes; Sporidiobolales; Sporidiobolaceae
Description: partial 26S ribosomal RNA
Source: RNAcentral